UGGAUUGAAGCCAGUUGUGNUUGGGCUUUUAGCUGUUAACUAAAUACUUGCAGGUUAGAAUCCUGUCAAUUCAG
This 74-nucleotide transfer RNA is filed under the name Lariscus insignis (three-striped ground squirrel). RNAcentral describes it as "tRNA-Asn". It matches the Rfam family "tRNA". Rfam says of the family: Transfer RNA (tRNA) molecules are approximately 80 nucleotides in length. Their secondary structure includes four short double-helical elements and three loops (D, anti-codon, and T loops). The record is from RNAcentral. Lineage: Eukaryota; Metazoa; Chordata; Mammalia; Rodentia; Sciuridae.